Salmo salar (Atlantic salmon) is the source of this 966-nucleotide non-coding RNA. Lineage: Eukaryota; Metazoa; Chordata; Actinopteri; Salmoniformes; Salmonidae. The record is from RefSeq and is a predicted model, not a curated record.
CGUAAUUUAGCAACUUUCAGCAACAAAUCGACCUGCCUCUAGCAACUUCCCCUGAAAAUUAGUUGUCAACACAGAGUCGGAUUUCCCAUAGGGAACUGUAAACAUGCUAGCUAAUAUCCUGUGGAUGCCUCCAUCUAGUUCCCUAGAACAGCAGACCGAUCUGUCAACCAGGCUCGGUGGGUGACAGGUAACCGUGUUUCCACAAAGCUGUUCCAGGCCUGGGGUGGCACGCUGGAACUUCCAGAGGCUUGUAGGCCUGAAGCAGUGUGAUGUGGUCCAGAUCUGACACCCCUACUAGCUCAACCACAGUUCUCACAGCUGCAGUCGUCUGCCCCUGCACCUGCUACACCGGCCACGACAGGUGAUUCAGAUCUGCCAGCCCCAGCAGUCCUCUGCUGUGGUAUUUCAUUUACCGGCUGCACCGGUUCCUACUACACUCGCCGUGAAGGGAGAAUCUUUUGAGGAUUCCCAGAUGGAUAUAGAUCUGCCAUGCACUCCACCACUGCCCCAGACAGCCUCACCCAGAAGUGCAUGCACCGGGCCUAUCACAACUGACGAAGCAGAGAUGGGAGGCUGACAAAGAAAAAUAAAACACAACAUGCACACACACUCUCCCUCUCUGUCACACACACACACACACACACACACAUUAUCCCCAAUGUAAAUAAAUAAAUAAUUUUAUUUUAGGAUUGGAGAUAUCUACGCCUACAUAUCCAUUAUCAAUAGCUAUGUAUUUACUCUAUCCAAUCAAAGUGUGAUUGAUAAUAAUCAAAGUGUGAUUGAUAAUAUUGUAAGAGUAUUGCUUAAUUUGUCGUUUGAGGAAAUUCUGUGUGCUUUUUUCUGAGUGGAAAAACAUGCCUCACUCUCACUCACACACCCAAUGUAAAUACAUUGUUUAUUUUUAAUGUAUGCUCCAUUUUAUUUGAGGAUUGUGUGCAAUAAAGUACAUUCACAGUUAAAGCAACA